RNAcentral lists this ribosomal RNA (276 nucleotides) under uncultured cyanobacterium. RNAcentral describes it as "partial 16S ribosomal RNA". It matches the Rfam family "Bacterial small subunit ribosomal RNA", at positions 116 to 411 of the family's 1533-position model. Lineage: Bacteria; Bacillati; Cyanobacteriota. The record is from RNAcentral.
CGUGAGGAUCUGGCUAUAGGUAGGGGACACAGAUGGAAACGUCUGCUAAUACCCAAUGUGCCGAGAGGUGAAAGCUUUAGUGCCUGUAGAUGAGCUCGCGUCCGAUUAGCUAGUUGGUAGGGUAAAGGCUUACCAAGGCGACGAUCGGUAGCUGGUCUGAGAGGAUGAUCAGCCACACUGGGACUGAGACACUGCCCAGACUCCUACGGGAGCGCAGCAGUGGGGAAUUUCCGCAAUGGGCGAAAGCCUGACGGAGCAAUACCGCGUGCGGGACGA